CGGCCAGACUCCUACGGGAGGCAGCAGUGGGGAAUAUUGCACAAUGGGGGAAACCCUGAUGCAGCGACGCCGCGUGAAGGAAGAAGUAUUUCGGUAUGUAAACUUCUAUCAGCAGGGAAGAAAAUGACGGUACCUGAAGAAGAAGCCCCGACUAACUACGUGCCAGCAGCCGCGGUAAUACGUAGGGGGCAAGCGUUAUCCGGAUUUACUGGGUGUAAAGGGGGCGCAGACGGCGAUGCAAGCCAGGAGUGAAAGCCCGGGGCCCAACCCCGGGACUGCUCUUGGAACUGCGUGGCUGGAGUGCAGGAGGGGCAGGCGGAAUUCCUGGUGUAGCGGUGAAAUGCGUAGAUAUUAGGAGGAACACCAGUGGCGAAGGCGGCUUACUGGACAGUAACUGACGUUGAGGCUCGAAAGCGUGGGGAGCAAACAGGAUUAGAUACCCCUGUAC
RNAcentral lists this ribosomal RNA (448 nucleotides) under uncultured bacterium. RNAcentral describes it as "bacterial SSU rRNA". It matches the Rfam family "Bacterial small subunit ribosomal RNA", at positions 328 to 793 of the family's 1533-position model. The record is from RNAcentral.